This 500-nucleotide ribosomal RNA is filed under the name uncultured bacterium. RNAcentral describes it as "partial 16S ribosomal RNA". It matches the Rfam family "Bacterial small subunit ribosomal RNA", at positions 30 to 523 of the family's 1533-position model. The record is from RNAcentral.
AUUGAACGCUGGCGGAAUGCUUUACACAUGCAAGUCGAACGGCAGCACGGACUUCGGUCUGGUGGCGAGUGGCGAACGGGUGAGUAAUGUAUCGGAACGUGCCCAGUCGUGGGGGAUAACGUAGUGAAAAUUACGCUAAUACCGCAUACGAUCUAUGGAUGAAAGCGGGGGAUCGCAAGACCUCGAGCGAUUGGAGCGGCCGAUAUCAGAUUAGGUAGUUGGUGGGGUAAAGGCCCACCAAGCCAACGAUCUGUAGCUGGUAUGAGAGGACGACCAACCACACUGGAACUGAGACACGGGCCAGACUCCUACGGGAGGCAGCAGUGGGGAAUUUUGGACAAUGGGCGAAAGCCUGAUCCAGCCAUUCCGCGUGCAGGAUGAAGGCCCUCGGGUUGUAAACUGCUUUUGUACAGAACGAAAAGGUUUCUACUAAUACUAGGAGCUCAUGACGGUACUGUAAGAAUAAGCACCGGCUAACUACGUGCCAGCCGCCGCGGUAA